CUUAUAAUGCAACCGUCUCAUUGGACGGGAAGGGAGAUUAUACAACAAUCGGCGCCGCUAUAGCAGCAGCACCGAAUAACAGUGACUCCAGGUUUAUCAUUUAUGUUAAACCUAGAAUGUAUUUUGAAUAUAUAAAAAUCGAAUCGUCGAAAACCUUCAUUACAUUAAAGGAUGACGAUGCGUCUACCACAACUAUAGUGGGUAACAGGAGCCAGGCCAAUGGCUUUGGAACUGCGGAUUCAGCCACAUUCCUCGUGGGUGCGAACCAGUUCAUAGCUAUUUCCAUUACGUUUUCAAACUCUGCUGGAGCUGGACCGCUGGACCUAAAUACGGCCGAGCAGUUGCUCUCUUGAAUAGUGAUAAUGUAAAUUAUACUGUCUUUCACAAGUGCGUUUUUCUUGGGUAUCAAGACACUUUUCAUAAAUGGAAAGAUGUUGUUUUUCAAAGAUUGUGAAAUCUACGGUACAGUAGAUUUCAUAUUUGGGAACGCACUUGCUGUUUUUCAAGAUUGUAGAAUUUACGCCCGACUACUAAAUAACACUGUUACUGUCACCGCACAAUCUAAAGAGUACAAACUACAAUUGAGUGGCUUCUCGUUUCAGAAUUGCAGUGUAAUGGCCUCUCCUGAACUUGGGCCAGUAAAUGAAAUGAUUGUGUUUCUUGGCCAUCCUUGGAGAGACUAUUCCACUGUGAUUUUCAUGGAAUCGUUUCUAGACUCAGUGGUGAAUCCUGCCGGAUGGUCAGAAUGGUUCAAUAGUAGUUCUCUGAAAUUAUUAUUUUAUGCUGAGUAUGGCAACAGAGGACCGGGGGCUAACUUAUCCGAAAGAGUCAAGUGGCCGGGAUUCCAUGCAAUAGAGAAUCGAAAAGAAGCCACUCGAUUGACAAUUUAUCAACGGGACUACAUGGUUGCCAGUUGAAACUGGUGUACCAUAUAGACCCGAUUUGUAAUAUAGAUAUGUGCAACGUGACACGGAAUAAAAGUUAUUUAGUAUCGUUUCA
Non-coding RNA from Cucurbita pepo subsp. pepo (vegetable marrow), 999 nucleotides. The record is from RefSeq and is a predicted model, not a curated record. Lineage: Eukaryota; Viridiplantae; Streptophyta; Magnoliopsida; Cucurbitales; Cucurbitaceae.